RNAcentral lists this ribosomal RNA (529 nucleotides) under Vibrio fluvialis. Its description in RNAcentral is "bacterial SSU rRNA". It matches the Rfam family "Bacterial small subunit ribosomal RNA", at positions 347 to 868 of the family's 1533-position model. The record is from RNAcentral. Lineage: Bacteria; Pseudomonadati; Pseudomonadota; Gammaproteobacteria; Vibrionales; Vibrionaceae.
AGCAGCAGUGGGGAAUAUUGCACAAUGGGCGCAAGCCUGAUGCAGCCAUGCCGCGUGUAUGAAGAAGGCCUUCGGGUUGUAAAGUACUUUCAGCAGUGAGGAAGGAGGUAUCGUUAAUAGCGGUAUCUUUUGACGUUAGCUGCAGAAGAAGCACCGGCUAACUCCGUGCCAGCAGCCGCGGUAAUACGGAGGGUGCGAGCGUUAAUCGGAAUUACUGGGCGUAAAGCGCAUGCAGGUGGUUUGUUAAGUCAGAUGUGAAAGCCCGGGGCUCAACCUCGGAAUUGCAUUUGAAACUGGCAGGCUAGAGUACUGUAGAGGGGGGUAGAAUUUCAGGUGUAGCGGUGAAAUGCGUAGAGAUCUGAAGGAAUACCGGUGGCGAAGGCGGCCCCCUGGACAGAUACUGACACUCAGAUGCGAAAGCGUGGGGAGCAAACAGGAUUAGAUACCCUGGUAGUCCACGCCGUAAACGAUGUCUACUUGGAGGUUGUGGCCUUGAGCCGUGGCUUUCGGAGCUAACGCGUUAAGUAGA